RNAcentral lists this transfer RNA (72 nucleotides) under Stegodyphus mimosarum. It matches the Rfam family "tRNA". Rfam says of the family: Transfer RNA (tRNA) molecules are approximately 80 nucleotides in length. Their secondary structure includes four short double-helical elements and three loops (D, anti-codon, and T loops). Lineage: Eukaryota; Metazoa; Arthropoda; Arachnida; Araneae; Eresidae. The record is from Rfam by way of RNAcentral.
GCCUUCGUGGUGUAACGGUAGUACACUCGACACAUAUUUGAGAGGUCCAGGGUUCGAGUCCCUUCGAGGGCA